Molecule: non-coding RNA, 22 nt
Filed under: Arabidopsis thaliana (thale cress)
Lineage: Eukaryota; Viridiplantae; Streptophyta; Magnoliopsida; Brassicales; Brassicaceae
Source: RNAcentral
UCUUCUCGGCCACUCAGCAAUU